ACUCUUGGAGAGAAGUUGUUCCGACUCACAAUUCCAGGUCUAUCUCAGUGGGCACCACGGCUUUGCAAAGAGAGCAUCGCGUCCAUAUGAGCAAAGACUUCUACCGUGCAGGAAUCCAACUGUCCCGAUCUCUCUCUUCCUCUCUUUCCUUGCACGGUGGUCGGGGGGCCGCCCCCAGUGAAGGCGGUCGUCCCUCUGACCUAUCUGCACUUGCUGGGGGAGGUUUUCUCUCAAACUUUCACCACGGUGCUGAUCCUUAGGGGGGGGUGCUAGGGAGAAUUUUCUGCUCAGGUAACAGGAAGUGUCUAGGAGACUAUUCAACCUGCAAAAAUGUUGACGAUCAGGAGAG
Molecule: long non-coding RNA, 349 nt
Filed under: Physcomitrium patens
Lineage: Eukaryota; Viridiplantae; Streptophyta; Bryopsida; Funariales; Funariaceae
Description: long non-coding RNA (PPAT_LNC013862)
Source: RNAcentral